ACCAAAUAUGGCCACUUUCACACGCUUUUUCAGCAUUGGCUUGAGUCACGAAGAUGAUGUUUUAUUAACGUUAGGACGGUGAGACAAGGUGAACAAAUUGUUUGCAUUAGAAUGCAAAGUUUGGAGAAGCGCUUUGAAGCUGUUCAGAGGAGCAGGAUACAGCAGGAACAGACAGAAAACGGUGUCCUGGUACCGAAGGGGGAAACACAGUGAGUCAUCAGUACACAGUCGCAGGCAGGAUUAUCGCUGGAUGACUGUGUGACCGCGCUCCCGCGGCAGAGGCAGAGCCAUUACGGGAAUGCCCGAGUGUCCGGCGGAGCGCACGCCCCCAUUGCCACAGCGUGACCGCAGCCUGGCCAGGAAUGUUCCACCACCCCUUUAGCAGGUCAUCAAAGCAAGAACCCCCAUCGACCCCGUCGGAGUUAACCACCCUGCUGUAGAACCCGUUCGUUCGUUCGUUAGUCGGACGUCUGCUCUAGACCCCGCCCAUCCCCGGUAUGGCCCCUGACCCCAGGCGUGCCCAGACUGUUCCACCCUUCCAUGGUAUGGCCUCUACCGCCGGCAUGCCUGGGCUGUUCCACCCAUCCAUGGUAUGGCCUCUACCGCCGGCAUGCCUGGGCUGUUCCACCCAUCCAUGGUAUGGCCUCUACCGCCGGCAUGCCUGGGCUGUUCCACCCAUCCCAGGUAUGGGCCAUACCCCUGGCGUGCCCGGAUUGUUUCUGUUUCUCGUCUGCAUUUGGCUGGAAUGAACCGUGCAGGUACCAGAGCUAAGGUGGCAGUGAAGCUGGCGUUCGACUCCGCCCGGUUAUUUUUAAACUCCCGUGGGACAGCGGUGAACUUUUAUUGCGCUUCGAUGACAUGUAGACGGUCUUGCGUUGUUGAGGGUAUGGUUACACUGGCCUUUCACAAUAGGCUUCUGGGACCAAAAAAAGCACGGUUUGAGUGGGUCAUUAAUUCUCUAAUUAUUUUUCACUGAUGUUCUGCUAGAAGAAUGCCUUUUGACUGCCAGAGAGUUUGAAAGACCCAUCUGAUUCAAAAAACACAAUGUGUGUGGCGUGCUUGCACUGGAAAUUGAACUCUGACGAAACUCAAAUGUUGCAAACACUUUGUCUCGCCCAGAUGUGAAAAAUUUGUCACAAAUGCCGAAUUCUAUAACUUGUGAAAGCCAGAGAGAGGGUCCAUCCUUGACUUGUAAUAGCAUUCAUAAAAAUAUAAUAUGAAAAAGCUUCUGAUGAAAUAGAAUAGCCUGUGGAAAGUGGAAAAAAAAAUUGUAAAAGUGAAAGUGUAAAAAUUGCACAAUUGUUUAUAUGUACUCCCUCAACUUCAGAUGUGAAAGCGAAAGUCUGUCUUAGGCCCUGUUUACACUUGGUUUUAAAAUGUGUUUCGGUGAUCCAAACACAAGUGGACAGCUGAGACACAUCGCUGUUCACACCUGUGUCUAUCAUGCGUCUUACAACGUAAACAGGGUCUUGUACACUUAUACACUACACUUAUACAUAAAUGACCGAACAUAUCUGGACACCCUUUGGUCUGGGGCUGUUUCUCAUGGUUAGUUCCAGUAAAGGCAAUUAUUAAUGCUAUAGCAUACAGUGACAUUCUAGAUGAUUCUGUACUUCCCCAACAGUUUGGGGAAGGCCCUUUCCUGUUUCAGCAUGACAGUGCUCCUGGGCACACAGCAUGGUCCAUAUAGAAAUGGAUUUGUCAAGAACGGUGUAGGAAAACUUGACUGGCCUGCUCAGAGCCCUGUACCUCAACACCAUCCAAUGCCUUUGGGAUCAAUUGGAAAGCCAACUGCGAGCCAGGCCUAAUUGCCCAAUCAGUGCCCAACUAACUAGUGCUCUUCUGGCUGAAUGGAAGCAAAUCUGUGCAGCAAUGCUCCAAUAUCUAGUAUAAAGCCUUGCCAGAAGAGUGCAGGUUGUUAUAGCAGCAAAGGGUGGACCAACUCCAUAUUAAUGCCGAUUAAUUUUGGAUGAGAUGUUGGAUGUCAGAUGUCCACAUACUUUUGGCCAUGUAGUGUAUUUGAAUAAUCAAUGAAAAGGUCAUUACAAUUACCGGGGUUGGUGUGAAAAAGGAAGGAUGAAAUUAAGAGAUGGGAGAUGGAACAACAAAAGUAGAAAGGGAGGUCCAGGAAGAAGCUCGAGAAAGAGGAGGGAGGGUACAGAAAUGAAUGUUGUAUAGAGCCUGAAUGCAUCUACUAAGACAUCUGAAGGAUACUGAAAUCUGAGAAAAAUGUAAGUUACUGUUGCACUGUUUGACAGUGAAAUAACAUUGUAAGGUUAUUUCUAUAGCAGGCCUUACAAGGAAUCUGGAAGCACAUGAUAUCUCACUAUUUAAAAAUUCUUUGG
Molecule: long non-coding RNA, 2345 nt
Organism: Anguilla rostrata (American eel)
Lineage: Eukaryota; Metazoa; Chordata; Actinopteri; Anguilliformes; Anguillidae
Exons: 3
Source: RefSeq, a predicted model, not a curated record